GGGUUUAGCAUUCGUAGUGACCUGCGGAGGAUCAUUACUGAGUGCGGGCUGCCUUCGGGCGCCCAACCUCCCACCCGUGACUACCAAACACUGUUGCUUCGGCGGGAAUCUCCCCUGGGAGUGAACCGCCGGAGACCACUGAACUUCUUUGUUUAAGCAUGAUCUCUGAGCUUUAAUAAGCAAAUUGAUUAAAACUUUCAACAAUGGAUCUCUUGGUUCCGGCAUCGAUGAAGAACGCAGCGAACUGCGAUAAGUAAUGCGAAUUGCAGAAUUCAGUGAAUCAUCGAGUCUUUGAACGCACAUUGCGCCCCCUGGCAUUCCGGGGGGCAUGCCUGUCCGAGCGUCAUUUCUGCCCAUCAAGCGCGGCUUGUGUGUUGGGUCGUCGUCUCCUCCGGGAGACGGGCCCGAAAGGCAGCGGCGGUACCGUCCGGUCCUCGAGCGUAUGGGAGCUUUGUCACCCGCUCGAUUAGGGCCCGGUCGGCGCCAGCCGUCAACCCCAAUUUUUAUUCAGGUUGACCUCGGAUCAGGUAGGGAUACCCGCUGAACUUAAGCAUAUCAAUAAGCGGAGGAA
RNAcentral lists this ribosomal RNA (571 nucleotides) under Aspergillus sp. ML488. RNAcentral's name for it is "eukaryotic LSU rRNA". The stretch from base 193 to 346 matches the Rfam family "5.8S ribosomal RNA". Lineage: Eukaryota; Fungi; Ascomycota; Eurotiomycetes; Eurotiales; Aspergillaceae. The record is from RNAcentral.